CAAUUACUCCACCCUGACAAACAAGCCCUCAGGCAAACUGAGUAAGGGUUGUACAACCAGGUGCUUAAUGAUCAUCCUUGAAAUAAUAACACGAUGUACUUGCAGUUUCCUCUAUGGUUGCCCCAGAAUUCAACAUUCAGAGACAUCACAGCUACCAGCACUUCUAAGGCUGCAAGAGAAUGGAUCCACCUUGCAGGUGCUAAGGUAUGCAAGCGGGAAUCAGUUUGCUCUGCAAACAAGCCCUGACCAUCAAAGGGGAGAUCUUGGAUGGUGCUUUGGACCUCCGGCAGGAGACCCGAGGAUUGCAGCCAGGCAUUCCGUUGCAUGGCAAUGCUAGAAGCCAGAGUGCACGCAGCCGCUUCCGCAGCAUCCAGGGAAACCUGGAGGGAGGUCCGGGCCACCAAUUUACCUUCCUCAGCAAUGGCCCUGAGUUCCGUACGGGCCUCCGUUGGGAGAUCUUGGAAUUUAAGGACAGAAGACCAAGAGUUAAAGUUGUAUCUACUGAGGAUCACCAACUGGUUAGUGAUCCUAAGUGAGAGA
Long non-coding RNA from Mauremys reevesii (Reeves's turtle), 540 nucleotides. RefSeq lists it as uncharacterized. NCBI's taxonomy places the organism in Eukaryota, Metazoa, Chordata, Testudines, Geoemydidae. The record is from RefSeq and is a predicted model, not a curated record. The transcript is spliced from 3 exons.